UACGGGGGGUGCAAGCGUUGUUCGGAAUUAUUGGGCGUAAAGAGCGUGUAGGCGGCUAGAUAAGUCGGAUGUGAAAGCCCUGGGCUUAACCCGGGAAGUGCAUUUGAAACUGUCUUGCUAGAGUAAGGGAGAGGGAAGUGGAAUUCCUGGUGUAGAGGUGAAAUUCGUAGAUAUCAGGAGGAACACCGGUGGCGAAGGCGACUUUCUGGCCCUAUACUGACGCUGAGACGCGAGAGCGUGGGGAGCAAACAGG
RNAcentral lists this ribosomal RNA (253 nucleotides) under uncultured bacterium. Its description in RNAcentral is "partial 16S ribosomal RNA". It matches the Rfam family "Bacterial small subunit ribosomal RNA", at positions 524 to 776 of the family's 1533-position model. The record is from RNAcentral.